UCCUCUUCAACGCUGCGUUUCUAUGCUACAAACGGAGAGAUUCGAGCGCAAGCACGAAUCUCUCAUUACUGGCAUAUGAGAAAUUCGGAGUAACUUCUUCACACCACUUACCCAAUGUCGCCUGCCCAGUGCGGGAUCGACGGGUCUGCCCGCGAGGGUCUGGCGUGACUUCACGUCUGCAAUUGGCAUCAGAAAAGCAGGGCCUGGGCCGCCCUCAUGCAUACCUUGAGUUCCUCUUGGGGGACGAUGGGGAAGAUGAGGGUUAAUGGACUCGGUGUCCCUAUGGGAGAGCCGUUGCGAAAAGAUUGUGCAGAGCACUUGAGUGCGAUACGCAGCGUCUGGACCCUGGCUGGCCUCGGCCUGUCAGGGACUUGACAAUUCAAUUCCGAUCAUUCUGUUGAGGA
This 404-nucleotide RNase P RNA is filed under the name Colletotrichum higginsianum. RNAcentral describes it as "nuclear RNase P". It matches the Rfam family "Nuclear RNase P". Rfam says of the family: Ribonuclease P (RNase P) is a ubiquitous endoribonuclease, found in archaea, bacteria and eukarya as well as chloroplasts and mitochondria. Lineage: Eukaryota; Fungi; Ascomycota; Sordariomycetes; Glomerellales; Glomerellaceae. RNAcentral also lists the same sequence under 1 other name. The record is from Rfam by way of RNAcentral.